GGAUUGUGGCUCAGUGGCAGAGCACUUGCCUAGCAUGUAUGAGGCACUGGGUUCAAUUCUUAGCACCA
This 68-nucleotide transfer RNA is filed under the name Marmota monax (woodchuck). RNAcentral's name for it is "tRNA.Ala". The stretch from base 5 to 65 matches the Rfam family "tRNA", at positions 6 to 65 of the family's 71-position model. Rfam says of the family: Transfer RNA (tRNA) molecules are approximately 80 nucleotides in length. Their secondary structure includes four short double-helical elements and three loops (D, anti-codon, and T loops). Lineage: Eukaryota; Metazoa; Chordata; Mammalia; Rodentia; Sciuridae. The record is from RNAcentral.